AUUUUUCAAGGAGAGAAGAAAACAGAAGAAAGGGGAAAAAAAAGAAGAAGAAAAGCAGAUGAAAUAGAAGCAGAAGCUAAACAAAAUCAAACCAGAAAUAGCACAUUCCUAGCAGCAAGGGUGGAUAAUUACUCACUGGAACAGUUUGCCCCUGAGUGUGGAGACAUUAAGUCCUUAAAUCAAGACUGGAUCUAUUCUCCUCUAUCCGAACAGAAGUUCUGGCCUUUAUGCAGAACUCACAGAGUGAUUUUUUUUCUUCUUUUUUUCUUUUUUUUUUCUUUUUUUUUUCUGACGUGCAUCACCCUGAAUGUCAGACCACAUGAUCUUCGCAUUUUGUUCUGCACCGUCAGUCUGUUUAUGGACCAUAUGAUCUUCAUAUCCCAGUUUGGUCAUGGGAGGCUGGCUACAAGAGACUGCAAAGCAGCAGCUUUGACGAGGACAACACAAAGCCUCCAGCCCUUAGAAGCCACCUCUAAGAAAUGCAGCCAGUGAUGAGCAACACAAGCUACAAGUAAGGUGCUACCUGUUAUCAAAAUAUGCUACUUUGCAGCAUCAUUAUGUCUCCAGUUUAAAUUCUAGGUAUGGACAAGAUAGAAAAAUAAAUUUAUUUAUUUUUUUUUUAAAGCA
Molecule: long non-coding RNA, 627 nt
Filed under: Anas platyrhynchos platyrhynchos (common mallard)
Lineage: Eukaryota; Metazoa; Chordata; Aves; Anseriformes; Anatidae
Description: lncRNA (ENSAPLG00000017440.1)
Source: RNAcentral